GAUGCACUAGAAGCCAUCGACAACAACAAAAGAGUAGCUACAACGGCACUAAGUGAGGAGGAGAGAGAAACCACGCACGUGGAAGCAGAAACUUCUCAACAUUGAUCCGGCAGCCUUUUUGAACAAUUUAAGUGGCAUUGGAAUCCUCAUAAACCUAGCUUUCUUUUGGGGCCAACCUUGCUAAGAAUGGUGGUUGAAGAAAAAAAUUAGGGAAGACAGAAGUUUUAGGUUUUUUUAGGUUGCCGGCUAAUCGGUGAUCGAAAUGGAUGAUAGGGCCCAAUAAUCUCCAUCUACUCUUUGCAAGCUUCAAUUUGACACCCACCAUGCCUUGAUUAGAGUUCAGAUGAAGAAUUACUUAUCUGAUGGCCUAAACUAAAUCGGGCGAUAGGCAACUGAAGUGGAGUUUUGACAAAUUGUCUACGAAUCUGUCACAGUAGCUCAUGGGCAUUCCGAAUAUGCACUCGGAUUAAUGAUAGUUUACUGGUGGCCAGAAUCGAGUUUUCGGCCUAAUCUAGAUGCCCCACGGCUCGUCUUGGUACACAGUCAAUAUUACAGUCGAUUCUAGUAUUUUUAGACAUUCUAGAUGUGCUCCACAUAGCAAAAUU
RNAcentral lists this unclassified non-coding RNA (605 nucleotides) under Hevea brasiliensis (rubber tree). Lineage: Eukaryota; Viridiplantae; Streptophyta; Magnoliopsida; Malpighiales; Euphorbiaceae. The record is from RNAcentral.